This 468-nucleotide ribosomal RNA is filed under the name uncultured bacterium. Its description in RNAcentral is "partial 16S ribosomal RNA". It matches the Rfam family "Bacterial small subunit ribosomal RNA", at positions 28 to 507 of the family's 1533-position model. The record is from RNAcentral.
GACGAACGCUGGCGGCGUGCUUAACACAUGCAAGUCGAACGGAAAGGCCCUGCUUUUGUGGGGUGCUCGAGUGGCGAACGGGUGAGUAACACGUGAGUAACCUGCCCUUGACUUUGGGAUAACUUCAGGAAACUGGGGCUAAUACCGGAUAGGAGCUCCUGCUGCAUGGUGGGGGUUAGAAAGUUUCGGCGGUUGGGGAUGGACUCGCGGCUUAUCAGCUUGUUGGUGGGGUAGUGGCUUACCAAGGCUUUGACGGGUAGCCGGCCUGAGAGGGUGACCGGCAACAUUGGGACUGAGAUACGGCCCAGACUCCUACGGGAGGCAGCAGUGGGGAAUAUUGCACAAUGGGCGGAAGCCUGAUGCAGCAACGCCGCGUGCGGGAUGACGGCCUUCGGGUUGUAAACCGCUUUCGCCUGUGACGAAGCGUGAGUGACGGUAAUGGGUAAAGAAGCACCGGCUAACUACGUG